UUUGGUAUGUUUGUGAAUCUCAGAUUUCUACUGAUUGAAGAUAUGUUGUUUUCUUUAGAGCCACAGUUCUCUCUACGGCCCUUGGUUAAUCUCAGGACCUUGAUAUUAGAUGGUUGUGAGAUUACUCAUGUUUCCCAAACAAAUGCUAGUUUUUUCCCAGAAAACCUGGUAGCUCUAUACAUUUGGAAUUGCGAUCUCCCACGGCCACUGAAUUUACCAAUCCUGAAACAUCUUAGAAAGCUCGAAAUCCAAGGGUGGAGGAGCAAUAAUAUCCAAAUGGUGCCAAAUACUGUAUCCAGUAUGCCCAGUCUACAGGAAUUGCACAUACCAGGUGGAUACAANUCACCUUUUUCCUACUACAUCUUUGUUUUCGUUAGCAAUUUUUUAAGUCCCUGCAUCAUUCACUUGCUUCUAACUUUCAUAUUCAAGAAAUUCUCCUUUCUCCAGCCCUAUUUCUUCCUAUUCUCUCUUGGUAUUCAUUUCAUUGCAUCUUCAUCACCUUUUUCUUCUACAUCUUUGUUUUUUUCUUAAAUUCAAGCCAAAAUUAAUAAAAAAGGGGUUGAAAAGCAAGGAUAAUUAUGGUUGGUCUAUCUGACAUUCCCUGUGUGGGAAAGAACGUGGACAGGAUAUCCGAUGCAGCAGUUGACGCACUAUUUCGCGGAUUCAGUUAUAUGUUUUCUUACAAGAAUCAUGUUCAGGUUCUUGAAACCGAAAUUCAGAAACUUGACGCUGAGAUGGAUCGGAUGUCCAGAAAAGUCAGGGAAGAAAAAGAUAAUGGUAAAAUGAUCGUUGAUGGCGUGAGUACAUGGCAGGCAGAUGUAGAAGAAGUCAAGAAGAGUGCUGAAGAAAUUUUAGAAAAAUACAAAAACAGAUCUUCAUGGAGGUGCAUUCAGUGGAUGCCUAUUCCUAAACCAGUCUCCCGAUCCCGAUUGGGUCGGGAGGCAGCACACAAGGCCAAGAGAGUAAUUGAACUCUCUGAUUCUGCAAACAAUCUCUUGGCUAAUGGAAUUGCAUAUGGUUCUCCUGCUGAAAAUGCACCAAACACUGUAUAUCAGACUUUCAAAUCCAGAAGUGAUGCUUAUGACAAGCUAUGGAAAGCGCUUGUAAGUGAAGGUGGUUCUACUGUUCUUGGCAUCUAUGGAAUGCCUGGAGUUGGGAAGACGACAAUGAUGGAGAGUCUAUGGAAGGAAGCCCUUGAGAAAAAAAUCUUCGACAAGGUAACUCGGGCAGAUGUGGGCAAUGAAGACUUGGAUGUAUUUAAAUUGCAAAAACAAAUCGCGGACCAUCUGGAUUGCCAUUUAAAUCCGGAAGAUGAUGAGCAACACAGAGCUUCUCAACUGAAAAAGAGAUUAACGAAUGGAGAGAAGAUCCUCAUUAUACUAGACGAUGUAUGGAAGGAGAUCCCGUUGCAUCGUAUUGGAAUUUCAUUGGGCGAUGGUGAUAGUUCCACUCAUCGUAAGAUCCUUUUGACAUCCCGGAAGAAAAGAGUAUGCAUGGAUAACAAGUGCCUGCAUCCGGUAAAGAUUGCACCUCUUGGACCUGAAGAAGCAUGGCAAAUGUUCAGGAACACUGUUGUUCCUGAUAACAUUUACCUUCUUCCAGACGAAUCCCUGGCACUGGAGGUGUGCAACCAAUGUGGGGGAUUACCACUCCUAAUUCACGCGGUUGGUAAAGCUCUGCAAUUCACAUCUCCUGAUGUAUGGAAGGAUGCACUAAAUCAACUCGUGAUGGGCAACUUUGAAAAAAUUGCUGAUAUAGAUUCGAAUGUAUAUGCCUGUGUCAAACUGAGUUUUGAUAGAUUACCCGACGAUGCCAAGUCGUGUCUUGUUUUGUGUUCCUUGUAUCCAGAAGAUGCUAGCAUUUAUAUCAAUAAGCUGAUCCCGCUAGCAACAGGGUCACGGCUGGUACGCGGUGGAGAAGCUAGAAUACGUUCGAUGGUAGAGAUUCUCAGAUCAUCUUCCCUGUUGCUGGACUCUGAAGAUCAUAUAAUAAAAGUGCAUGACCUCAUCAGAGAUGUAGCUAGAUCCAUAGCCGUCAAAGACCCGAAAUAUUCGUUUUCACUUGUAAGAUGUGGCUCGCUGUUGCCUGAUGAUGUUGACUAUCAUACUCGGAAAUUCUUACGUCUGCAUCUAGAAAAGAAUGAUAUUCUCUUUCCUGAUGGUCUGGUGUGCCAAGACCUGCAUAACUUGUGGCUACAAUGCAACAAACAUGCACAACAAUUCUUAGGUGACUUCUUUGGUAUGUUUGUGAAUCUCAGAUUUCUACUGAUUGAAGAUAUGUUGUUUUCUUUAGAGCCACAGUUCUCUCUACGGCCCUUGGUUAAUCUCAGGACCUUGAUAUUAGAUGGUUGUGAGAUUACUCAUGUUUCCCAAACAAAUGCUAGUUUUUUCCCAGAAAACCUGGUAGCUCUAUACAUUUGGAAUUGCGAUCUCCCACGGCCACUGAAUUUACCAAUCCUGAAACAUCUUAGAAAGCUCGAAAUCCAAGGGUGGAGGAGCAAUAAUAUCCAAAUGGUGCCAAAUACUGUAUCCAGUAUGCCCAGUCUACAGGAAUUGCACAUACCAGGUGGAUACAAGAUUCAAGAUGAUGGAUGUGGAAAAAGUUUGGAUGCUGUUUCGGCACCAAUAUUGGGGGAGAUUAGUAAGUUGACUGGGCUGAAAAGUUUGCAGAUGUUCUUUUUCAGCAAUUCCGAGCAUUUUCAAGAUACAAAUAUAUUUGGUAAUUUACUUCAAUAUAAUAUAUCAGUGGGUGCAAAGCCGCAUGAUCGUCCUCUUAUAGAAUCCAGUGUUUCUAUCAAGAGAUUGAUUGAGCUGCAGGGUAGUGGUUUAGAAAGCUUAAAAGGUCUGAUUGAGAGGGCUGAAGAAGUAUCAUUGGAUUGCACCGACAUUCAUGUGGGUAGCAUAUACAAUAGCAACAGGGAAGCAUUUACAGAUUUGAAAAACUUGUACAUUAGAAAUUGUAACACUAUAGAAUAUCUUGCAAGGAUAUCAUGUGGUGAGAUUCAACAUUCAAGGUCUUUCGCAAAUCUCGGCGUCUUGGAAAUCAAAGAUUGUUCAGCAUUGAAAUACCUCUUCAGCAAAUCCGUUGCAAAAUGUCUCGUGCAACUGCAGGAGUUAGCCAUUGUAAGAUGUCCUGUGAUGGAAGCAAUUUUAAUGAAUGAAGGCACAAGUGAUAGAGAUGGCGUCAUCAGCUUCUGCAAAUUGAAGUUUUUAUCAAUAUAUAAUAUUCCGAGACUCAAAAGCUUCUGCAUGCAAAAUAAAGAUCUGCACUCCGGAUCAACAACACACAACUCCGCUAUCUCGAACAUUCAAGCUCAACCCC
This 3321-nucleotide long non-coding RNA is filed under the name Daucus carota (carrot). RNAcentral describes it as "long non-coding RNA (DCAR_LNC000841)". The record is from RNAcentral. Lineage: Eukaryota; Viridiplantae; Streptophyta; Magnoliopsida; Apiales; Apiaceae.